GAUGAACGCUGGCGGCGUGCUUAACACAUGCAAGUCGAACGGAAAGGCCCAAGCUUGCUUGGGUACUCGAGUGGCGAACGGGUGAGUAACACGUGGGUGAUCUGCCCUGCACUUCGGGAUAAGCCUGGGAAACUGGGUCUAAUACCGGAUAGGACCACUUCGUAGUUGUUGUGGUGGAAAGUUUUUUCGGUGUGGGAUGAGCUCGCGGCCUAUCAGCUUGUUGGUGGGGUAAUGGCCUACCAAGGCGUCGACGGGUAGCCGGCCUGAGAGGGUGUACGGCCACAUUGGGACUGAGAUACGGCCCAGACUCCUACGGGAGGCAGCAGUGGGGAAUAUUGCACAAUGGGCGGAAGCCUGAUGCAGCGACGCCGCGUGGGGGAUGACGGCCUUCGGGUUGUAAACUCCUUUCGCCAAAGACGAAUCUAGGACGGUAUUUGGAGAAGAAGCACCGGCUAACUACGUG
Molecule: ribosomal RNA, 463 nt
Filed under: uncultured bacterium
Lineage: Bacteria
Description: partial 16S ribosomal RNA
Rfam family: Bacterial small subunit ribosomal RNA
Source: RNAcentral